UGUCGCCUACGGGAGGCAGCAGUGAGGAAUAUUGGUCAAUGGGCGGAAGCCUGAACCAGCCAAGUCGCGUGAGGGAAGAAGGCCCUGCGGGUCGCAGACCCCUUUGGACGGGGAGCAAGGCCGCCGACGUGUCGGCGGAAGGAGAGUACCCGUAGAACAAGCAUCGGCUAACUCCGUGCCAGCAGCCGCGGUAAUACGGAGGGUGCAAGCGUUACUCGGAAUCACUGGGCGUAAAGAGCGCGUAGGCGGGAUAGCAAGUCAGAUGUGAAAUCCUAUGGCUUAACCAUAGAACUGCAUUUGAAACU
Molecule: ribosomal RNA, 305 nt
Filed under: uncultured bacterium
Lineage: Bacteria
Description: bacterial SSU rRNA
Rfam family: Bacterial small subunit ribosomal RNA
Source: RNAcentral